Molecule: long non-coding RNA, 1256 nt
Organism: Polyodon spathula (Mississippi paddlefish)
Lineage: Eukaryota; Metazoa; Chordata; Actinopteri; Acipenseriformes; Polyodontidae
Exons: 4
Source: RefSeq, a predicted model, not a curated record
GACGGGAGUAGUGUUUCACCCUCAGGUUAUUAGAAAGAAGGAAAGGAACUUAUUCAGUGAUGGAAAAUGUUAGCGUUGAUCAGCGCGCAAUCGAAGAAUGAGAUUAUGUGGUCCUAAAGAGAGAAAUGUGUUCAAAGCCGUGCAAGUGCAAAUUAAAAGGAACAUAGUCUUUGAGAAGCAAUGGUUGCACCUUGAUAAUGCUAUUGGCCAGCUCUUUGGAACUUCUUUUGAAGUUGCUGCUGGGGGAACCCUUCAGGCAUGAAAACCAAAUCCUGUGGAAAAUCCUAAAGAAACCAAGGAAGAGGGCAUGGACAAUGGGAAGAUCCCACAAACUCACAAGAGAUGAUAUUGAGACUUUAAAAGAGCAAGGUCUAAAGGAUGUCGCCAAAGUCUGCGAAUUCACUAGUAGACGAGAGUGAAGCCCCAAAACACUCUGUACAGAAAACAGGGGAAGAUGUAGGUGGAGGUGGAGAAAGGCAGUUCUCAGGCCAGUUCAGAGGUGGACAUGGUCAUCAUUGAGGAACCUCAAAAUAAAGAGAAAGAGGAAUGGGCUGCUCGGAGAGACGGUAAAGUAAGAGGGGUAUUGCAGUCUUGUAUUUCAGAUGUCUUAACAACCAAAGUCUGAUUUUUGGAGUUAUGUCACAAAAGCCUUUUGUUGAAGUAAUUAUGAAAAUAAUUCACCAGAUUGUGUUGACCCAAUUUUAUAUUUAAAUACUGUAAAAUGCUACAGGACAUUAUCUUUUGAUCAUUGCUUUCAUUAUUCAGGUAGUUAACAAAUGACACCAAAUUUAAUCCAGAGUUAAAACUGAUUUUAUGAAGCUUGAUAUAAAUAACCCUGGCCUGGAUUAAAUCAAAAUGAUGGCACCACCACAAAGUAGAGUUUUUUUUGUGCUGUAAACUUUGAUUUAUAUUCAGGUCCAUGUGGUAUACAUGUUGCAGGCUGAGGAAAAGAAAAUGAAACAGGAAGAGAAGAGAAAGAAACAUAUGGAAGCUGCUGCUUUAUUACCAAGAAGAAAUACUGAUGGGUACGAUAUACACACACACAGAACAUUUGUCGGUUUGCGGUGGGGCUGGGGCAUAUAUCAGGUUCGGUGUUAAGGCUGAAACCUGAAAAUAGACCCAGAUAAACAAUUGUACAAAUGUAUUGUAAUACGUACAAUUGCGUGUUUGCUUGCUGGUACAUGGUGUAGAUGUCCGGUGUUUGAGGAUGGGUGAAAUAUUUAAUUAGCGCUUGAAAUUGGAGUUAGGGUUUUUUU